Sarcophilus harrisii (Tasmanian devil) is the source of this 657-nucleotide non-coding RNA. The record is from the annotation of a RefSeq genome assembly. NCBI's taxonomy places the organism in Eukaryota, Metazoa, Chordata, Mammalia, Dasyuromorphia, Dasyuridae.
AGGAAUGAGGGAUGCUUUGUCUAGAAGCCAGGAACCCAGCUUAAUGAAGAAAGACCAGUCAGAUCCCUCCACAAAAGAAGGCUUCAAGAUACCUCAUCCUUAUUCUGAGAGGUUGGCAAAUCCCUCCUUUAGGGAGAGAGAACUGUUCUGUCUCAGAGAGACCUCUCCACAGAUUGUCACACCUGAAAAACAGGAGGAGCCUUAGAGCCCUUAAUCCCACAGAUGCUCCACCCCAAUGUACCAGAGCCUUAGCCUUCAGAGAUGUCUCCCUCCUGUCCUGAGACCACCAUGGAAACUAAACUCUUAGGCUGGCUGGCCAUUUGCCUCCUGGGAACAGGUUUGACAGAUUGCAGUGUUCUUCAAACCCCAAGAUACCUGGUCAAAGGCAUAGGAGAAGUAGCAAUAUUGAAAUGUAAUCAGGAUCAUAAUUAUGACGACAUGUACUGGUACCAACAUAAACCAGGACAGGAGCUAAAGCAACUUCUCCGUUACUUUAAGUUGACAGAUGUUACCAAAGAAAAGGACAUCUCUGAAAAUUUCCAAGUUGCCCGGCCAAACAUUAACUUCUGUUACCUUAACAUUAGUUCCUUGAGUUUGGAAGACUCAGCUACAUAUCUUUGUUCAGUCAGCUUACACAGUGCUGUAGAAGAACCUUAA